Molecule: long non-coding RNA, 1393 nt
Filed under: Piliocolobus tephrosceles (Ugandan red Colobus)
Lineage: Eukaryota; Metazoa; Chordata; Mammalia; Primates; Cercopithecidae
Description: lncRNA (ENSPTEG00000004470.1)
Source: RNAcentral
GAAAAACACCAAUUUGAACAAUCAACAUAAAAGGAUAUCAUUCAUUAGAAAAACAAAUAAUCAAAGUGUUCAAUCGAAAAAUGAUUUUAUUAAUAAUAAUAAUUUUAAUGAUAGUGAUAGUUAUAGUAGUAGCCGUAGUAAUAUAAACCGUGACUGUAACAAGCGCGAUUAUAGCAACAGCAACAAUAGAAACCAUAAUAAUGAAGUUAGUUAUAACAGAUUAAUAAAUAGGCACAACAAAAUAAACAGUAAUGACAAAUAUAAUAUUAAUAACUUACAUAGAAAACACGUUUCUGAUACAUACAAUAACAGAUUUGAUUGUACAAAUACAUUACAUAAUGUCAAAAAUUGUCGAACUACUUUUAUAGGUUUCAAAAGAUAUUGUUUUACUAAAAAAAGGCUUCAUUUUAACGAUAAGUUAAAAAAUGAUAUUAUUUUAAAAACAGUUAGUAGUGCAAGAAAUUAUAUUCAAAAAUAGUAUAAAGAAAAACCUUCAUAAUUUUGUAUAUAAUAACGAAAGUGUAUAUUACAGUUUUGACGACCGAUAUAAUAACACAAACCAAGAAGAAUAUACCAAACACGAAGAACCCAAACAAAUUUAUAUACUAAAAAGCAAUUUAAGUGAAUUGAAAAGUUUAAGAUCAAGUAUAAACACAUUUUCUAGUUUCGAGUUAAAUAAAACGCCUUUAUUAUCAAAUAUUGAAAAUAACAAUUAUAAUUACCAAAAUAAUUCUAGUAACUUUGUGUCUAAGGACAUAAAUUCGUUCAAAAUUUUCACAAAAAACAACCAUAAAGAAAUAAGCCCGUUAUUAUCUUAUAGUAAUAAUAAAAGCAAUAACAACAGUAAUAACUCGUCUUUAGUGCUUAACGACAAUCAUAAUUUACAUGGUAAAGAUUUAAAUUUGAUAAAACUAAACAAUCAGAGUAACAUAUCUUUAUUAAAAAAAAAGUUCAAAAUGGGUACUGAUGAUGAUAAUGACUUAUUAGUUGAAGAACGUUUAAUGAAAAAUAUGAGCGAACAUCCUGUACAAUUUCGAACUGCUGAGGAAUGUGAAAGAUAUUGUAAUGAUAGUAAAAUACUGAACCCAGAAUACAAACAAUUAGAAUCUAGAAUGUUAGGAGAAAGGUUUUUUCAAACGGCUCAUGAACAAUAUACUGCUAUUAUGGGUAAUUCUUCUUUUUCCAACUAUGAACAUAAUGUUAUUAUCCCAGAAUAUGGUAAUAGCCGUUUUAGAACGGACAAUAAUAGUAGUGGGGGAGGGUACAACACGAUGAUGUAUAAUAAUACUGGCUAUCAUGGUAAUGUGAAUAUGUACAAUAACAAUGAAUUUAGGAGUACUACUAUGUGCGAAACUGGUAAUAGUACUUUCUAUGACAAUAAUAAUUAUAUUAA